Molecule: ribosomal RNA, 506 nt
Filed under: uncultured bacterium
Lineage: Bacteria
Description: partial 16S ribosomal RNA
Rfam family: Bacterial small subunit ribosomal RNA
Source: RNAcentral
GAUGAACGCUAGCUACAGGCUUAACACAUGCAAGUCGAGGGGUAACGAGAGGAAAGCUUGCUUUCCUUGUCGACGACCGGCGCACGGGUGAGUAACGCGUAUCCAACCUGCCCCCAACUAGGGAAUAACCUUGCGAAAGUAAGACUAAUACCCUAUAAUUUCCUCAGAUGUCAUCUGACGAGGAAUAAAGAUUUAUCGGUUGUGGAUGGGGAUGCGUCUGAUUAGCUUGUUGGCGGGGUAACGGCCCACCAAGGCAACGAUCAGUAGGGGUUCUGGGAGGAAGGGCCCCCACCAUGGAACUGAGACACGGUCCGAACGCCUAAGGGGGGCAGCAGUGAGGAAUAUUGGUCAAUGGGCGGAAGCGUGGGCCAGCCAAGUAGCGUGCAGGAUGGCGGCCCUAUGGGUUGUAAACUGCUUUUAUACAGGAAUAAAGUUAGCCACGUGUGGUUAUUUGUAGGUACUGUAUGAAUAAGGACCGGCUAAUUCCGUGCCAGCCGCCGCCGUAA